CCGGCGACCGGCGCACGGGUGAGUAACACGUAUGCAAUCCACCUGUAACAGGGGGAUAACCCGGAGAAAUCCGGACUAAUACCCCAUAAUAUCAUAGAAGGCAUCUUUUAUGGUUGAAAAUUCCGAUGGUUAGAGAUGGGCAUGCGUUGUAUUAGCUAGUUGGUGGGGUAACGGCUCACCAAGGCGACGAUACAUAGGGGGACUGAGAGGUUAACCCCCCACACUGGUACUGAGACACGGACCAG
RNAcentral lists this ribosomal RNA (245 nucleotides) under uncultured bacterium. RNAcentral describes it as "partial 16S ribosomal RNA". It matches the Rfam family "Bacterial small subunit ribosomal RNA", at positions 88 to 334 of the family's 1533-position model. The record is from RNAcentral.